This 382-nucleotide ribosomal RNA is filed under the name uncultured bacterium. Its description in RNAcentral is "bacterial SSU rRNA". It matches the Rfam family "Bacterial small subunit ribosomal RNA", at positions 29 to 420 of the family's 1533-position model. The record is from RNAcentral.
AUUGAACGCUGGCGGAAUGCUUAACACAUGCAAGUCGAGCGGGGUGUAGCAAUACACCUAGCGGCGGACGGGUGAGGAAUACAUAGGAAUCUGCCUCAGAGCGGGGGAUAGCCCGGGGAAACCCGGAUUAAUACCGCAUGAUGUCGCAAGACCAAAGUGGGGGACCGCAAGGCCCCACACUCUGAGAUGAGCCUAUGUCCGAUUAGCUAGUUGGCGGGGUAAUAGCCCACCAAGGCGACGAUCGGUAGCUGGUCUGAGAGGACGAUCAGCCACACCGGAACUGAGACACGGUCCGGACUCCUACGGGAGGCAGCAGUGGGGAAUAUUGGACAAUGGGCGCAAGCCUGAUCCAGCAAUUCCGCGUGGGUGAAGAAGGCCUCGG